This 2893-nucleotide ribosomal RNA is filed under the name Pseudomonas amygdali. RNAcentral describes it as "23S ribosomal RNA". It matches the Rfam family "Bacterial large subunit ribosomal RNA". The record is from RNAcentral. Lineage: Bacteria; Pseudomonadati; Pseudomonadota; Gammaproteobacteria; Pseudomonadales; Pseudomonadaceae.
GGUCAAGUGAAGAAGCGCAUACGGUGGAUGCCUUGGCAGUCAGAGGCGAUGAAAGACGUGGUAGCCUGCGAAAAGCUUCGGGGAGUCGGCAAACAGACUGUGAUCCGGAGAUGUCUGAAUGGGGGAACCCAGCCAUCAUAAGAUGGUUAUCUUGUACUGAAUACAUAGGUGCAAGAGGCGAACCAGGGGAACUGAAACAUCUAAGUACCCUGAGGAAAAGAAAUCAACCGAGAUUCCCUUAGUAGUGGCGAGCGAACGGGGACCAGCCCUUAAGUUGUAUUGAGAUUAGCGGAACGUUCUGGAAAGGACGGCCAUAGUGGGUGAUAGCCCUGUACGCGAAAAUCCCUUUGCAAUGAAAUCGAGUAGGACGGGGCACGAGAAACCUUGUCUGAAUAUGGGGGGACCAUCCUCCAAGGCUAAAUACUACUGACUGACCGAUAGUGAACCAGUACCGUGAGGGAAAGGCGAAAAGAACCGCGGAGAGCGGAGUGAAAUAGAUCCUGAAACCGUAUGCGUACAAGCAGUGGGAGCCCACUUUGUUGGGUGACUGCGUACCUUUUGUAUAAUGGGUCAGCGACUUAUUUUCAGUGGCGAGCUUAACCGAAUAGGGGAGGCGUAGCGAAAGCGAGUCUUAAUAGGGCGUCUAGUCGCUGGGAAUAGACCCGAAACCGGGCGAUCUAUCCAUGGGCAGGUUGAAGGUUGGGUAACACUAACUGGAGGACCGAACCGACUACCGUUGAAAAGUUAGCGGAUGACCUGUGGAUCGGAGUGAAAGGCUAAUCAAGCUCGGAGAUAGCUGGUUCUCCUCGAAAGCUAUUUAGGUAGCGCCUCAUGUAUCACUGUAGGGGGUAGAGCACUGUUUCGGCUAGGGGGUCAUCCCGACUUACCAAACCGAUGCAAACUCCGAAUACCUACAAGUGCCGAGCAUGGGAGACACACGGCGGGUGCUAACGUCCGUCGUGAAAAGGGAAACAACCCAGACCGUCAGCUAAGGUCCCAAAGUCAUGGUUAAGUGGGAAACGAUGUGGGAAGGCUUAGACAGCUAGGAGGUUGGCUUAGAAGCAGCCACCCUUUAAAGAAAGCGUAAUAGCUCACUAGUCGAGUCGGCCUGCGCGGAAGAUGUAACGGGGCUCAAACCAUGCACCGAAGCUACGGGUAUCAUCUUUUGAUGAUGCGGUAGAGGAGCGUUCUGUAAGCCUGUGAAGGUGAGUUGAGAAGCUUGCUGGAGGUAUCAGAAGUGCGAAUGCUGACAUGAGUAACGACAAUGGGUGUGAAAAACACCCACGCCGAAAGACCAAGGUUUCCUGCGCAACGUUAAUCGACGCAGGGUUAGUCGGUCCCUAAGGCGAGGCUGAAAAGCGUAGUCGAUGGAAAACAGGUUAAUAUUCCUGUACUUCUGGUUAUUGCGAUGGAGGGACGGAGAAGGCUAGGCCAGCCUGGCGUUGGUUGUCCAGGUUUAAGGUGGUAGGCUGAGAUCUUAGGUAAAUCCGGGAUCUUAAGGCCGAGAGCUGAUGACGAGUGUUCUUUAGAACACGAAGUGGUUGAUGCCAUGCUUCCAAGAAAAGCUUCUAAGCUUCAGGUAACCAGGAACCGUACCCCAAACCGACACAGGUGGUUGGGUAGAGAAUACCAAGGCGCUUGAGAGAACUCGGGUGAAGGAACUAGGCAAAAUGGCACCGUAACUUCGGGAGAAGGUGCGCCGGUGAGGGUGAAGCAUUUACUGCGUAAGCCCACGCCGGUCGAAGAUACCAGGCCGCUGCGACUGUUUAUUAAAAACACAGCACUCUGCAAACACGAAAGUGGACGUAUAGGGUGUGACGCCUGCCCGGUGCCGGAAGGUUAAUUGAUGGGGUUAGCGCAAGCGAAGCUCUUGAUCGAAGCCCCGGUAAACGGCGGCCGUAACUAUAACGGUCCUAAGGUAGCGAAAUUCCUUGUCGGGUAAGUUCCGACCUGCACGAAUGGCGUAACGAUGGCGGCGCUGUCUCCACCCGAGACUCAGUGAAAUUGAAAUCGCUGUGAAGAUGCAGUGUAUCCGCGGCUAGACGGAAAGACCCCGUGAACCUUUACUAUAGCUUUGCACUGGACUUUGAAUUUGCUUGUGUAGGAUAGGUGGGAGGCUUUGAAGCGUGGACGCCAGUCUGCGUGGAGCCAACCUUGAAAUACCACCCUGGCAACUUUGAGGUUCUAACUCAGGUCCGUUAUCCGGAUCGAGGACAGUGUAUGGUGGGUAGUUUGACUGGGGCGGUCUCCUCCUAAAGAGUAACGGAGGAGUACGAAGGUGCGCUCAGACCGGUCGGAAAUCGGUCGUAGAGUAUAAAGGCAAAAGCGCGCUUGACUGCGAGACAGACACGUCGAGCAGGUACGAAAGUAGGUCUUAGUGAUCCGGUGGUUCUGUAUGGAAGGGCCAUCGCUCAACGGAUAAAAGGUACUCCGGGGAUAACAGGCUGAUACCGCCCAAGAGUUCAUAUCGACGGCGGUGUUUGGCACCUCGAUGUCGGCUCAUCACAUCCUGGGGCUGAAGCCGGUCCCAAGGGUAUGGCUGUUCGCCAUUUAAAGUGGUACGCGAGCUGGGUUUAGAACGUCGUGAGACAGUUCGGUCCCUAUCUGCCGUGGACGUUUGAGAUUUGAGAGGGGCUGCUCCUAGUACGAGAGGACCGGAGUGGACGAACCUCUGGUGUUCCGGUUGUCACGCCAGUGGCAUUGCCGGGUAGCUAUGUUCGGAAAAGAUAACCGCUGAAAGCAUCUAAGCGGGAAACUUGCCUCAAGAUGAGAUCUCACUGGAACCUUGAGUUCCCUAAAGGGCCGUCGAAGACUACGACGUUGAUAGGUUGGGUGUGUAAGCGCUGUGAGGCGUUGAGCUAACCAAUACUAAUUGCCCGUGAGGCUUGACCAU